This 253-nucleotide ribosomal RNA is filed under the name uncultured bacterium. RNAcentral describes it as "partial 16S ribosomal RNA". It matches the Rfam family "Bacterial small subunit ribosomal RNA", at positions 524 to 776 of the family's 1533-position model. The record is from RNAcentral.
UACAGAGGGGGCAAGCGUUGUUCGGAAUUACUGGGCGUAAAGGGCGCGUAGGCGGCCUUCUAAGUCGAACGUGAAAUCCCCGGGCUCAACCCGGGAACUGCGUCCGAUACUGGAAGGCUUGAAUCCGGGAGAGGGAUGUGGAAUUCCAGGUGUAGAGGUGAAAUUCGUAGAUAUCGGGAGGAAUACCAGUGGCGAAGGCGGCGACCUGGGCCAAUACUGACGCUGAGGUGCGAAAGCGUGGGGAGCAAACAGG